Molecule: long non-coding RNA, 1635 nt
Organism: Alexandromys fortis (reed vole)
Lineage: Eukaryota; Metazoa; Chordata; Mammalia; Rodentia; Cricetidae
Exons: 2
Source: RefSeq, a predicted model, not a curated record
ACUCGGUAGCAAUAUAAGACCAUGGAGCAGUAUUCAGAACUAUAAAGAAAAGAGCUGUCAUGUCAUGGAAACAACAGAGAGGAAAUGUGAAUGUGUGUUACUAAGUGAAGGAGGGCAGAAGACAGCAACAGAUCUGAGCACAAAACCACACAGAGGACAAGUCUUAGUGCUCAGAGGAUGUUGGACACUUCCAGUUCAAUAGUCUGGACUCUAAGGCAGGGCUUUGGCCCCAGUCUCUCAGGCUUGGUAUAGACAAGGAUAAUAUGAGAGCUAAAGGGGGAAAAUUUAAAGGAAUAUUUCCAACCACCAAAACACAACCACAGAUUACCAAUGUUCCUGCUGUCAAAACAUACGAGGUGAAAACGUGGAAAGUGGAAGUUACCAGUUGUGCUGGGCGUUUUCCGUCAACCUGCUACAAGUUUGUGCCACCCGGGAGGAGGGAACCUUGACUGAGAAAAAUGCCUCCAUAAACUCAAGCAUGUGAGGUAUUUUCUUGAUUAAUAACUGAUGUGGAAGGAUCCAUCCCACUGUGGGUGGUGCCAUCCCUAGGCAGGUGAUCCCGGGUUGUGUAAAAAGGCAGGUUGAGCAAACCAUGCGGAGCAAGCCACCGAGCAGCAUUCCUCCAGAGUCUCUGUUUCAGGGCCUACCUUGAGGUCCUGCAGUAACUGACUUUGAUAAGGAGUAUAAACCAAAUUCACCCUUUCCUCCACUUUUGGUCUAAGUGUUCUGUCACAGCAACAGUGAGCAAACUGAUACCCCAAUGGAAGCAGCCAGAAGGGACAUCUUCUUAGAGCCAUGCCAGUUCCCACCUGCCGUCCUGGUAAAGCUAUUAAUAGUGUGAUGUUUCAUUUGCACGAGGUCACCUAUUGGAUUACUCAUAAAGGCAUCGUGCCUCGAUUCCCCCCACAGUCAUUAUCACUAUUUAAAAGCUAGGCAUAUUCUAGCUGCCAAGCGAACACGGAUGGGGUAAAUCCCAAAUGGCCUCACUGCUACAUGAAGAGCUAUGGGUGAUCAGUGGCUCCUGGAAGAAGGAGAACCAGUUUCCUCCAGGGAGGAGCUCCCUUACAGGUUUCCAGGCCCAAGUGAUCAGCCCUGGACUCAUGUACGUACCGGCAGGCAUGAAAUAGACUGAGUAGGCUGCACAUGCAUGUGUGUGUCUGUAUAUAUAUACACAUCUAUGGACCAGUAAUAUUUGAAGAGGUCAGAAAUUUGGGAGGGAAGAGGCAGAGGCCGUGGAUGAAGUACUCACGCGUGAAGUUCUCAAAAAAGAAAAAAAAAUAUAUAUCACUUAAAAAGUUUGGUGUGUAUAUGUGUGUGUGUUUUUAUAUAUUUUCUUUAUCUUCUUUAUAGACUAGCAAAUAUUUUUCUAUCAAAGCAGGACCAUGGUAGCUCACCUUUUUAAAAGAAUAGCAAUGAGCCAGGCGAUGGUGGCGCACGCCUUUAAUCCCAGCACUCGGGAGGCAGAGGCGGGCGGAUCUCUGUGAGUUCGAGACCAGCCUGGUCUACAGAGCUAGUUCCAGGACAGGCUCCAAAGCCACAGAGAAACCCUGUCUCGAAAAACCAAAAAAAAAAAAAAAAAAAAAAAAAAAAAAAAAAAAAAAAAAAAAAAAAAAAAAAAAAAAAAAAAAAAAAGAA